CGCCCCCGACUUGUUGAGGCGAAUCAGCUUCAGGAUCAGGAAGAAGCCGAGCGGGAACAGGGGCAGCACAUACCAGUACUUCUGCAUCCAACGCGAC
RNAcentral lists this unclassified non-coding RNA (97 nucleotides) under fungal sp. RNAcentral's name for it is "partial internal transcribed spacer region". The record is from RNAcentral. Lineage: Eukaryota; Fungi.